CAUCUGGAAUGUGCUUGGUGGGGCUUGGACAUGGAGUCUCUUCUGGGACUUCUGCUCCAUGACGAUGUGGAAGGUGACUCUUCAAGCGGGAAAAGCUGAACUUUUUUCCCCGAGUGCUGGACGCAGCCCCCAUAAAUAUGGAGCAUUUGUUGUGGCCGUCUCACGGAUGCCCAGGUAAAUGGGCUUUUGAACACACAGACAGCCGCCAGAAAGGAA
Non-coding RNA from Lonchura striata (white-rumped munia), 216 nucleotides. Lineage: Eukaryota; Metazoa; Chordata; Aves; Passeriformes; Estrildidae. The record is from RefSeq and is a predicted model, not a curated record.